AAUGAACGCUGGCGGCGUGCCUAACACAUGCAAGUCGUACGAGAAGUCCCGAGCUUGCUUGGGAGAGUAAAGUGGCGCACGGGUGAGUAACGCGUGGGUAACCCACCUUCGAAUCUGGGAUAACUCCGCGAAAGCGGUGCUAAUACCGGAUAAGACCACAGCCGUUUCGGCGGCAGAGGUAAAAGCUGACCUCUCCAUGGAAGUUAGCGUUCGAGGACGGGCCCGCGUCCUAUCAGCUUGUUGGUGGGGUAAAAGCCUACCAAGGCAGCGACGGGUAGCUGGUCUGAGAGGAUGAUCAGCCACACUGGAACUGGAACACGGUCCAGACUCCUACGGGAGGCAGCAGUGAGGAAUUUUGCGCAAUGGGGGAAACCCUGACGCAGCAACGCCGCGUGGGUGAAGAAGGCUUUCGGGUCGUAAAGCCCUGUCAGGUGGGAAGAACCGUUUCGAUACUAAUAAUGUCGAAGCCUGACGGUACCACCAGAGGAAGCACCGGCCAACUCCGUG
RNAcentral lists this ribosomal RNA (507 nucleotides) under uncultured bacterium. RNAcentral describes it as "bacterial SSU rRNA". It matches the Rfam family "Bacterial small subunit ribosomal RNA", at positions 29 to 507 of the family's 1533-position model. The record is from RNAcentral.